Molecule: long non-coding RNA, 1047 nt
Filed under: Equus caballus (horse)
Lineage: Eukaryota; Metazoa; Chordata; Mammalia; Perissodactyla; Equidae
Description: lncRNA (ENSECAG00000050220.1)
Source: RNAcentral
AGAGCUGCUUCCUUUUCACCAGGACCUGCAGAGAGGGCCCAAGACCAAGCUGUGGUGUCCAUCUGUCAGUCCCUCUCUUCAAAUAACAGCAAGCAACUGCUACCAUUUAGUGAGCAUCUACUUUGUGCUAGGCUCUGAGGCAGUGACAGCAAUGGCCACCUUCUGUCAAACACUUCCUAUAUGCCCGGACUGUUUCACUGAGCCCUCAGGACAACACUGUGAGGAGGUUGUGUCAUUGCCCCAUCUUACAGAUGAAGAAACAAAGGCACAGACCAGUGACAUAAUUUACAUGACAGCUGAGAGUGAGAGAGUCAGGACUGGAAUCCAAGAGGCCUGACCCCAGAGCAGUCUCUUAACACCAUGGCGCCGACCCAGGUUAUGCCAAGUCCAGAGUCAGACAAGCCUGUCUUCAAGCUCUGCCAUUAUGCGACCUUAAGCCAGCGAUUCGUCUCGGAGCCUCCGUUUCCUUCCUUCUCUUCCCAGGACACAUGGAUGAGGACGAGUUGAUCUCGGGGGGGGUUGCUGUGAAGCUCACAGGAGGUGAUGCAUUUAAAGAAUCCAGAACACAGAGGGGCUCCAGGAGCAUCGGCCCAGUAGCCAGCCUGGCCCUGCCUGGCCUGCGUUGGUUGCCUGCACCCCUCCCCGGGCACAUUCAGUCUCUGCCCCACGCCCAUUUACAUGCCAAGCCGCCAGCCUUGGCAGGUGAGCCAGGCCCGCCUCCAGCCCUCCUCCUCCUGGGCAUGGCGGGGGAGAGGGCUGGGGCCCGGGGCUGCCUACGUGGGGCCUGGGUUGGGGGCGGACCUGUCAAGGCUCUGGCCUCCUCCUGGCUGGGGUCGGGGAAAGUGGGUGCUGGCCUGAGAGUUCUGGAGAAAGGGGCAACCCCCCCUCGUCUCAUUCCUCCAGCCACUUCCUCAGCCCUCGAUAAAGGUGUUUAAUGAGCAAACACACGUUUAAAGAGAAGGCCCGUUUCUGGGAAGACCCUGGCUCCUCUGAGAUGCCAAAUAGCAGUUCCCUCUCUCACCUCCUGAGACUGGCCUUGCUUUUGAU